Molecule: ribosomal RNA, 484 nt
Filed under: uncultured bacterium
Lineage: Bacteria
Description: partial 16S ribosomal RNA
Rfam family: Bacterial small subunit ribosomal RNA
Source: RNAcentral
AUUGAACGCUGGCGGCAGGCCUAACACAUGCAAGUCGAGCGGAUGAAGGGAGCUUGCUCCUGGAUUCAGCGGCGGACGGGUGAGUAAUGCCUAGGAAUCUGCCUGGUAGUGGGGGAUAACGUCCGGAAACGGGCGCUAAUACCGCAUACGUCCUGAGGGAGAAAGUGGGGGAUCUUCGGACCUCACGCUAUCAGAUGAGCCUAGGUCGGAUUAGCUAGUUGGUGGGGUAAAGGCCUACCAAGGCGACGAUCCGUAACUGGUCUGAGAGGAUGAUCAGCCACACUGGAACUGAGACACGGUCCAGACUCCUACGGGAGGCAGCAGUGGGGAAUAUUGGACAAUGGGCGAAAGCCUGAUCCAGCCAUGCCGCGUGUGUGGAGAAGGUCUUCGGAUUGUAAAGCACUUUAAGUUGGGAGGAAGGGCAGUAAGUUAAUACCUUGCUGUUUUGACGUUACCAACAGAAUAAGCACCGGCUAACUUCGUG